GCGGGUGUGGCGCAGCUUGGUAGCGCGCUUCGUUCGGGACGAAGAGGUCGUGGGUUCGAAUCCCGCCACCCCGA
RNAcentral lists this transfer RNA (74 nucleotides) under Mycobacteroides abscessus subsp. bolletii 1513. RNAcentral's name for it is "tRNA-Pro". It matches the Rfam family "tRNA". Rfam says of the family: Transfer RNA (tRNA) molecules are approximately 80 nucleotides in length. The record is from RNAcentral. Lineage: Bacteria; Bacillati; Actinomycetota; Actinomycetes; Mycobacteriales; Mycobacteriaceae.